RNAcentral lists this unclassified non-coding RNA (147 nucleotides) under soil metagenome. RNAcentral describes it as "partial internal transcribed spacer 1". The record is from RNAcentral.
ACGAUAUAGUGUUUUAUGGCACUUUUAAAUCCAUAUCCACCUUGUGUGCAAUGUCAGUCGAUCUUCUUCAUGGAGAUCGACCAAACAUCAACCUUUAUCUUUUAACUCUUUGUCUGUAAAAAUAUUAUGAAUAAACAAUUCAAAAUA